GCGCCGUUGAGGAGUCCCACAAUAGGACGAAACGGCCGUUCAGUGC
This 46-nucleotide non-coding RNA is filed under the name Schistosoma margrebowiei. The record is from RNAcentral. Lineage: Eukaryota; Metazoa; Platyhelminthes; Trematoda; Strigeidida; Schistosomatidae.